GACNCGGAAGGACAUUACUGGUUCGAAAUAAUUAGGAGCCAGCAGGAUUGCUGGGCCAAUGCUCUCACAUUNAAGUGGUCCGGCAAUACUCUGGCCAAGUGAGCGUUGCGCUUUGGGCUCUUUUUCAAGUAUUACAACUUUGAAAAAUGAAAAGGCAGUUGGAGAGCUACUGGGGUGUAAGAAAUCCUCAGGAGUCUCGACAGCUGGUACAGCGGUCAAAUUCCAUGAAGACGGAGCAUAGAUAGCUAACCCCUGCGUCGUUGCACAAAAAAAAAAAAGAGUGCCUUACAAAGGGACGCUUUGCUCUCGAGAGGUCAGCUGCGUACUUGGAUUAUCUCUAGCGAGAUCCAGCCUAUUCUCUACCACACGCGAGGUCUCAAAUCUGGCCCCUGAUCUAAGCGUGCUAUUCUCUACUGUAGAUAAAGUGACAGCCACUGCGAGGACCCCUUUGCUCAAGGGAAACCCGCCGUGGCGUAGUGGCAAAUGGCUCCCACCGUCCUUCAGGCGUAUAUCGCCUGCGGAGUUGGUUUAGGUCUUCGGAUCAGGAGGGAUGCCAUCACUGAAAAGUCUGCCCGUCGCUUUUUCUUUACCCGAGCGCGUUAAUGGACCAAGGGUACGGUACCUCGAGGCAAUUUGAAAUGAGUUGCCUCUGUCGUGUGUUUAUAUAUCUAUUUGCCUUGUAGCCCGCGGGUUUUCUGAACCUUUGCGUAUGGGCGGGCGUCUACUCUCACUUGGUCAGCACUUGCUGAACGAUUUUUCUCCCUUGGGGAAUCGAUCCUAUGCCAACUCCUGGACCCCCUGUUUAUGUGUACCCUUCGUUUCCUCGGCAGGCUUGCCUGCCAAUGGGGACUCUAACAAACUCUUUUUGUAGUUGCAGUGUCUGUAGAAUUAUCAAUCUUAUUAAAACUUUCAACAACGGAUCUCUUGGUUCUGGCAUCGAUGAAGAACGCAGCGAAAUGCGAUAAGUAGUGCGAAUUGCAGAAUUCAGUGAAUCAUCGAAUCUUUGAACGCACAUUGCGCCCUUUGGUAUUCCAUAGGGCAUGCCUGUUCGAGCGUCGUUUCAAACCUUCAAGCCUAGCUUGAUGUUGGGUGUUUGUCCCGCGUCCCGCGUGGACUCGCCUUAAAACCAUUGGCAGCAGACAUCGUGGCUAAUUGCGCAGCAGAUACGCGCCUGACGUUGGAUGUCGGCUCUCCACGAGUGUAGCCUUUUAUUUUCAGUUUGACCUCGGAUCAGGUAGGGAUACCCGCUGAACUUAAGCAUAUCAAUAAGGCGGAGGAA
Molecule: ribosomal RNA, 1279 nt
Filed under: Lindgomyces angustiascus
Lineage: Eukaryota; Fungi; Ascomycota; Dothideomycetes; Pleosporales; Lindgomycetaceae
Description: eukaryotic LSU rRNA
Rfam family: 5.8S ribosomal RNA (bases 905-1058)
Source: RNAcentral